RNAcentral lists this ribosomal RNA (476 nucleotides) under uncultured bacterium. RNAcentral describes it as "bacterial SSU rRNA". It matches the Rfam family "Bacterial small subunit ribosomal RNA", at positions 8 to 526 of the family's 1533-position model. The record is from RNAcentral.
AGAGUUUGAUCAUGGCUCAGAACGAACGCUGGCGGCAUGCCUAACACAUGCAAGUCGAACGCCUGUAGCAAUACAGGAGUGGCGGACGGGUGAGUAACGCGUGGGGACCUGCCUCGAAGUUCGGAAUAACCGCGGGAAACUGCGGCUAAUACCGGAUGUGGCCUGAGGGCCAAAGGGGAAACUCGCUUCGAGAGGGGCCCGCGUCCGAUUAGCUAGUUGGUGAGGUAACGGCUCACCAAGGCGACGAUCGGUAGCUGGUCUGAGAGGAUGAUCAGCCACACUGGGACUGAGACACGGCCCAGACUCCUACGGGAGGCAGCAGUGGGGAAUAUUGGACAAUGGGGGCAACCCUGAUCCAGCAAUGCCGCGUGAGUGAUGAAGGCCUUCGGGUUGUAAAGCUCUUUUGGCGGGGACGAUGAUGACGGUACCCGCAGAAUAAGCCCCGGCUAACUUCGUGCCAGCCGCCGCGGUAAUUC